UUCAAAUGGGCAUGGAAGUGGCAAAG
This 26-nucleotide non-coding RNA is filed under the name Rattus norvegicus (Norway rat). Lineage: Eukaryota; Metazoa; Chordata; Mammalia; Rodentia; Muridae. The record is from RNAcentral.